GUAUGUAGAUAAACCCCUCCACCUUUUUCCAAAAACUUUCAAUUGAAGUCUUCAAAAUUAUCGAAUUCAAUAACUAUAAUCAAGGAUUGUAUCCAAAGACUACAUAAAAGUAAUUUACAGAACUUCAACAUCAAAUUAACCGAGCAUCAAACCCAAGACAAAUCUGUUGACUUCCAAACUAGCCGAGAACGAAAAAUCAAGCCAUUGACAUAAUAACGCAAUUAUGCCCCAAAUACAACGUAAUUACCAAACCCCCAAAAACUAGCACGCAGAUUAAUCAAGUCGCCGAAAAAAGAAAAACCCAGAAACCAAAAGCAACAAGGAAGAAAACCCAAAUCA
Molecule: long non-coding RNA, 339 nt
Filed under: Malus domestica (apple)
Lineage: Eukaryota; Viridiplantae; Streptophyta; Magnoliopsida; Rosales; Rosaceae
Description: long non-coding RNA (MDOM_LNC002631)
Source: RNAcentral